CCUUUGUGGAGCAUCUGGCCCUAACUCGAUCGUAUUGAUUUGUUGGACUGGCGAAGUGUGCGCGAUGUUAGGCGCAUUUCGGCAAGUCACUUGGUGUGCAGGGUUUUAAGCUUUUGUGUUGGGAUAUUUGUCAUCCAACACCAAAUGAAACAGGCAGGUGAUGGCGGCAGAGUUUGAGUUUGUGCCGCCACCGGAGGCCCCGGUGUUCCGGCCCACUGAGGAGGAGUUUGCUGACCCCCUGGCCUACAUCAACAAGAUCCGGCCGAUAGCUGAGCAGACAGGGAUCGCUCGCAUCAUCCCUCCACCGGAUUGGCAGCCCCAUU
RNAcentral lists this long non-coding RNA (323 nucleotides) under Pollicipes pollicipes. RNAcentral describes it as "uncharacterized LOC119107208, transcript variant X1". The record is from RNAcentral. Lineage: Eukaryota; Metazoa; Arthropoda; Thecostraca; Pollicipedomorpha; Pollicipedidae.